This is a long non-coding RNA of Rhinichthys klamathensis goyatoka, 281 nucleotides long. RefSeq lists it as uncharacterized. NCBI's taxonomy places the organism in Eukaryota, Metazoa, Chordata, Actinopteri, Cypriniformes, Leuciscidae. The record is from RefSeq and is a predicted model, not a curated record. The transcript is spliced from 2 exons.
UACCCUAAUGAUUCCACUGUGCUUGAAAAAGUCAGCAACUUCAUCCAAUGUAGCGUUCUCAGUCAGCCCAGUGAUAUAGAUAGUGCUGUUUUCAGAGUCAUCUUGCUCCUCUGGCCGUCCUGCAGAACACACAGGGUGCUUAAUGAAGCCACCUCUGUCUCCAGCGAUGCUGGGGGGGAAUAAGCGAAGAUAUGAAGGCGAUAUCCCUUAAAACAGCCACUUCGGUACCACAAAAGGGGUAAUGGGGGUAUUUGCACAGAGUUCUGACUGACUCUAAACCC